AUUGAACGCUGGCGGCAGGCCUAACACAUGCAAGUCGAACGAGUGGCGGACGGGUGAGUAAUGUCUGGGAAACUGCCCGAUGGGGGGGGAUAACUCCUGGAAACGGUAGCUAAUACCGCAUACCAUCGGAUGUGCCCAGAUGGGAUUAGGUAGUAGGGGGGGUAACGGCUCACCUAGGCGACGAUCCCUAGCUGGGCUGAGAGGAUGACCAGCCACACUGGAACUGUGACACGGUCCAGAAUCCUACGGGAGGCAGCAGUGGGGAAUAUUGCACAAUGGGCGCAAGCCUGAUGCAGCCAUGCCGCGUGUAUGAAGAAGGCCUUCGGGUUGUAAAGUACUUUCAGCGAGGAGGCGUUACUCGCAGAAGAAGCACCGGCUAACUCCGUGCCAGCAGCCGCGGUAAUUC
Molecule: ribosomal RNA, 406 nt
Filed under: uncultured bacterium
Lineage: Bacteria
Description: partial 16S ribosomal RNA
Rfam family: Bacterial small subunit ribosomal RNA
Source: RNAcentral